AGCGAACGCUGGCGGCAGGCCUAACACAUGCAAGUCGAACGAACCUUUCGGGGUUAGUGGCGGACGGGUGAGUAACACGUGGGAACGUGCCUUUAGGUUCGGAAUAACUCAGGGAAACUUGUGCUAAUACCGAAUGUGCCCUUCGGGGGAAAGAUUAAUCGCCUUUAGAGCGGCCCGCGUCUGAUUAGCUAGUUGGUUGAGGUAAUGGCUCACCAAGGCGACGAUCAGUAGCUGGUCUGAGAGGAUGAUCAGCCACAUUGGGACUGAGACACGGCCCAAACUCCUACGGGAGGCAGCAGUGGGGAACCUUGCGCAAUGGGCGAAAGCCUGACGCAGCCAUGCCGCGUGAAUGAUGAAGGUCUUAGGAUUGUAAAAUUCUUUCACCGGGGACGAUAAUGACGGUACCCGGAGAAGAAGCCCCGGCUAACUUCGU
Molecule: ribosomal RNA, 433 nt
Filed under: uncultured bacterium
Lineage: Bacteria
Description: partial 16S ribosomal RNA
Rfam family: Bacterial small subunit ribosomal RNA
Source: RNAcentral